AUACGUAGGGGGCGAGCGUUGUCCGGAAUGAUUGGGCGUAAAGGGCGCGUAGGCGGCCCGGUAAGUCUGGAGUGAAAGUCCUGUUUUUAAGAUGGGAAUUGCUUUGGAUACUGUCGGGCUUGAGUGCAGGAGAGAUAAGUGGAAUUCCCAGUGUAGCGGUGAAAUGCGUAGAGAUUGGGAGGAACACCAGUGGCGAAGGCGACUUACUGGACUGUAACAGACGCUGAGGCGCGAAAGUGUGGGGAGCAAACAGGAUUAGAUACCCUGGUAGUCCACACUGUAAACGAUGAAUGCUAGGUGUAGGGGGUAUCGACCCCUUCUGUGCCGCAGUCAACACAAUAAGCAUUCCGCCUGGGGAGUACGGCGGCAAGGUUGAAACUCAAAUGAAUUGACGGGG
This 397-nucleotide ribosomal RNA is filed under the name uncultured bacterium. RNAcentral's name for it is "partial 16S ribosomal RNA". It matches the Rfam family "Bacterial small subunit ribosomal RNA", at positions 523 to 918 of the family's 1533-position model. The record is from RNAcentral.